This 1376-nucleotide long non-coding RNA is filed under the name Nicotiana benthamiana. RNAcentral describes it as "long non-coding RNA (NBEN_LNC010827)". The record is from RNAcentral. Lineage: Eukaryota; Viridiplantae; Streptophyta; Magnoliopsida; Solanales; Solanaceae.
UCAAAACAAAUAGCAUAUAAAGGUAUACAAAUAAGACAUUAAAAGGCUCAUAUAAAACCCCAUAAGCCAAUAACAACAAUUAGUCUAGCAUGACUAACAAAUACUGGUUUGUUCUUAAUAUUAAAGCUGAUCGCGAAUAGAUUAGUUAAACACAUAAAGCUGGAUAGAAAAUCUGCUUCGAGCUCCCCGGGAACGUUAUCAGGAGUUGUUGUAUUUAAAAGGUCAGGGGAGUUUUAAAAGGCAGCAGAGGAAAUAAGAGAUUUGAAAAGCAGCAGACAGUUUAAGUAAAAUGUGCAGAAAAGUUUCAGAAAGACAGGCAGUUUUGAGAGAAAAACGAGUUGCACGACUGUUUUGAAAACAUUGAGGCAGGAUGAUUUUCACGAAGAGUUAAACCAAAAACAUUUGAGCGGGAAAAUUAUUUGAAAAGACUGUUUCAAAGGAAAACACUUUGGUUAUAACUUAUUUUAAACAGACUGUUUCAGAGGGCAAAGAUGUUUGGGCAGAACUUGUUUCAAAAGACAAAGAACACAGACUUGAGAUGUUUUAAAAGCAUGCAUAGUUAAACAGUGUACGGGAAGCGUUAUUUGGAAACAUUAUGGCUUAAAUGACUAACUAUUAUUAAUUAAGAGAAUAGAGCGAGUUUGACGGUUAAUCUUAUAAGCAUGAUGUCUAUGCUUUUGAUUUUAAAAGCUAUUAAGAAAUUGAUGAAUAAUCGAGUUUUUAACCCUACAACUUGCAUAUCGCGUAUGCAAGUCCUAUAGGCAGGAUUUCUAUAUGCGUUUGAUUACAAAAAAUAUGCUAGUCCUACAGGCAGGAUUUCUAUAUGCGUUUGAUUACAAAAAAUAUGCAAGUCCUACAGGCAGGAUUUCUAUAUGCAUUUGAUUACAAAAAAUAUGCAAGUCCUAUAGGCAGGAUUUUUUAUAUGCAUUUGAUUACAAAAAAUAUGCAAGUCCUAAAGGCAUGCUUUCUAAGUGUUUUAAGCAUAGAACCCUAUGAACAUGGUUUCUACCUUUUGACUUGUGCAGGAAUAAUAAAGCCCUUCCCACACCCUUUCACUAAUAUCCCCAAGUCUUUUUAGACAAUUAUUACAAAACUUGAAAGAACGGACUAAAGAAAAAUAAGAUAAAUACAUCAGAACUACAACAGGCCCGGGGAGUCUCAAAGCAGCCUUAAUUUCCAACCCAUGCAUUUUACCAAAUCCGGAGUCCAGAUUCCAAGGCCUUCUCAUACCCAGGGUGUUUUCAAAGUUCCAAGGAAUCUCAGGGACUCCCAGCAAUGCUUAACACCCUGAAUAACUUAAAGUAACAUAACAGUGCAGUGUGGAAGUACCAGCCCUAAGGCAUCCGAGAUCAGAGUGAGCUCAAGGGUCCCAAGGC